UACGAGGGGGGCAAGCGUUGUUCGGAAUUAUUGGGCGUAAAGCGCGCGCAGGCGGCCUUUUAAGUCUGAUGUGAAAGCCCACGGCUUAACCGUGGAAGGUCAUUGGAAACUGGAAGGCUUGAGUACAGAAGAGGAAAGCGGAAUUCCACGUGUAGCGGUGAAAUGCGUAGAGAUGUGGAGGAACACCAGUGGCGAAGGCGGCUUUCUGGUCUGUAACUGACGCUGAGGCGCGAAAGCGUGGGGAGCAAACAGG
This 253-nucleotide ribosomal RNA is filed under the name uncultured bacterium. RNAcentral's name for it is "partial 16S ribosomal RNA". It matches the Rfam family "Bacterial small subunit ribosomal RNA", at positions 524 to 776 of the family's 1533-position model. The record is from RNAcentral.